GACGAACGCUGGCGGCGUGCUUAACACAUGCCAGUCGAACGGAAAGGCCCUGCUUUUGUGGGGUGCUCGAGUGGCGAACGGGUGAGUAACACGUGAGUAACCUGUCCUUGACUUUGGGAUAACUUCAGGAAACUGGGGCUAAUACCGGAUAGGAGCUCCUGCUGCAUGGUGGGGGUUGGAAAGUUUCGGCGGUUGGGGAUGGACUCGCGGCUUAUCAGAUUGUUGGUUGGGUAGUGGAUUACCAAGGCUUUGACGGGUAGCCGGGCUGGGCGGGUGAACGGCCAAGCUGGGACUGAGAUACGACCCAGCCUCCACCGGGACGGAAGAGUGGGGAAUAUUGCAUAAUGGGAGGAAGGCUAAUGCAGCAAAGCCGCGUGGGGGAUGACGGCCUUCGGGUUGUAAUCCACUUUCGCCUGUGACGAAGCGUGAGUGACGGUAAUGGGUAAAGAAGCACCGGCUAACUACGUG
This 468-nucleotide ribosomal RNA is filed under the name uncultured bacterium. Its description in RNAcentral is "partial 16S ribosomal RNA". It matches the Rfam family "Bacterial small subunit ribosomal RNA", at positions 28 to 507 of the family's 1533-position model. The record is from RNAcentral.